This 276-nucleotide ribosomal RNA is filed under the name uncultured bacterium. Its description in RNAcentral is "partial 16S ribosomal RNA". It matches the Rfam family "Bacterial small subunit ribosomal RNA", at positions 82 to 354 of the family's 1533-position model. The record is from RNAcentral.
CCGUUGCCGGCGACCGGCGCACGGGUGAGUAACACGUAUGCAACCUGCCCGUGGCAGGGGGAUAAGCGGGGGAAACCCCGUCUAAUACCGCGUAACGCGGCCUAGGGACAUCCCAAGGCCGCCAAAGGGAGCAAUCCCGGCCACGGAUGGGCAUGCGGCGCAUUAGCUAGUCGGCGGGGUAACGGCCCACCGAGGCGACGAUGCGUAGGGGUUCUGAGAGGAAGGCCCCCCACACUGGUACUGAGACACGGACCAGACUCCUACGGGAGGCAGCAG